GAUGAAGGAACGUAGCGAAAUGCGAUAAGUAAUGCGAAUUGCAGAAUUUCCGUGAGUCAUCGAAUCUUUGAACGCACAUUGCGCCCACUGGUAUUCCGGUGGGCAUGCCUGUUCGAGCGUCAUUAUCCUCCCUCAAACCCCGGGUUUGGUGUUGGACCCAAGUUGUGUGAACAACUGGUCUCAAAGACAAUGACGGCGUCCGUGGGACCCUCGGUGCAACGAGCUUUUAGGAGCACGCAUCGAGUUGCAAGGACCUUCCGGGCCGGUCUCCUUUACCAUUUUACAAGGUUGACCUCGGAUCAGGUAGGAAUACCCGCUGAACUUAAGCAUAUCAAUAAGCGGAGGA
RNAcentral lists this unclassified non-coding RNA (346 nucleotides) under soil metagenome. RNAcentral's name for it is "partial contains 5.8S ribosomal RNA, internal transcribed spacer 2, and large subunit ribosomal RNA". The stretch from base 1 to 122 matches the Rfam family "5.8S ribosomal RNA", at positions 35 to 154 of the family's 154-position model. The record is from RNAcentral.